GUUAAGCGCCUCCAAUGAGUUUCCCAUAGAGCUGCUCACGAUACCACACUCAGGCAGGUCACGGGGCAUAAGAAAUACCUUAAUGCUUUAUUGUUUGACAUUUUGACUAAGGAAAAAAGCCCACACUUCUGUAGGUUCAGCCUAUUGUGACAUUUUUCUCUAUCUUCCUUCUCCUUCAGAUACCUCCAUGGCUUCUUGCUAGAAACUACAGCUCACGUUCGACCAUAUUGCUAGAUAACAGCACAGUCAGCCAGCCUGAUCUUAGACACACACUAGAAAAUGUGACUUUGGCAAUAUAUUACAGCAUAAAACACAGAUCUGCAAAUAGAUCUCUGGCUAUUUUGGAAGAGCCAAUACAUCCACUUUCAGUAAGUGUCACUUUCUUUGAGGUUCUAUUUUUGUCUCAUAGAGUUGUAUUUAGUUCAUGCUGAAGUCAAAAUCACCCACCUUUAAGUCUUCCCUCUGUUGUAUCUAAUCAUCUUAUAUAAGGAGUGUUGUCCAGUGGGCAUGCUGGAGUAAGAGCUGACUUGCAGCUCGGUUUAAUUAGUGCACUAAGGGGAGUAAAUAUACCAUCCAAAUA
Long non-coding RNA from Nomascus leucogenys (northern white-cheeked gibbon), 580 nucleotides. RefSeq lists it as uncharacterized. The transcript has 3 exons. NCBI's taxonomy places the organism in Eukaryota, Metazoa, Chordata, Mammalia, Primates, Hylobatidae. The record is from RefSeq and is a predicted model, not a curated record.